CCUACGGGGUGCAGCAGUGAGGAAUAUUGGUCAAUGGACGCAAGUCUGAACCAGCCAUGCCGCGUGCAGGAAGACGGCUCUAUGAGUUGUAAACUGCUUUUGUACGAGGGUAAACGCAGAUACGUGUAUCUGUCUGAAAGUACCGUACGAAUAAGGAUCGGCUAACCCCGCGCCAGCAGCCGCGGCAAUACGGAGGAUGCAAGCGUUACCCGGAUUUAUUGGGCUUAAAGGGUGCGUAGGCGGUCGGAUAAGUUAGAGGUGAAAUCCCGAGGCUCAACGUCGGAAUUGCCUCUGAUACUGUUCGGCUAGAGAGUAGGUGCGGUAAGCGGAAUGUAUGGUGUAGCGGUGAAAUGCUUAGAGAUCAUACAGAACACCGAUUGCGAAGGCAGCUUAC
RNAcentral lists this ribosomal RNA (394 nucleotides) under uncultured bacterium. Its description in RNAcentral is "partial 16S ribosomal RNA". It matches the Rfam family "Bacterial small subunit ribosomal RNA", at positions 338 to 729 of the family's 1533-position model. The record is from RNAcentral.